RNAcentral lists this ribosomal RNA (407 nucleotides) under uncultured Nitrosomonas sp. RNAcentral's name for it is "bacterial SSU rRNA". It matches the Rfam family "Bacterial small subunit ribosomal RNA", at positions 244 to 645 of the family's 1533-position model. The record is from RNAcentral. Lineage: Bacteria; Pseudomonadati; Pseudomonadota; Betaproteobacteria; Nitrosomonadales; Nitrosomonadaceae.
GCUAGUUGGUAGGUAUGGCCUACCAAGGCGACGAUCAGUAGUUGGUCUGAGAGGACGACCAGCCACACUGGGACUGAGANACGGCCCAGACUCCUACGGGAGGCAGCAGUGGGGAAUUUUGGACAAUGGGCGCAAGCCUGAUCCAGCAAUGCCGCGUGAGUGAAGAAGGCCUUCGGGUUGUAAAGCUCUUUCAGUUGAGAAGAAAAAAUUGUGACUAAUAAUUGCAAUUCAUGACGGUAUCGACAGAAGAAGCACCGGCUAACUACGUGCCAGCAGCCGCGGUAAUACGUAGGGUGCGAGCGUUAAUCGGAAUUACUGGGCGUAAAGGGUGCGCAGGCGGUUCUGUAAGUCAAAUGUGAAAUCCCCGGGCUUAACCUGGGAACUGCGUUUGAAACUACAAAGCUAGA